Non-coding RNA from Rhopilema esculentum, 2669 nucleotides. The record is from RefSeq and is a predicted model, not a curated record. Lineage: Eukaryota; Metazoa; Cnidaria; Scyphozoa; Rhizostomeae; Rhizostomatidae.
UUAAUGUUGAAAGGCGUUUACAAGCCAAAGACAAAACUAUAGCGGAACUCCAGUCUCAGCUCUCCAGCUUGACAGAAGAAUCCAAUUCAAACCUGUUCAAAAGCAGACUAUUAGAGACAAAUGAAAUGUAUAAUUCAACUCCAGAGCCCAAAAAACUAGAAGAGGGCAACAGAAAAUAUACGAAAAGCGCUUUUAAGGUGCGUUGCUGGUUUAAUUCUUCAAAAUUUUGGCAAAAGACUCUCACUCUCGGUAUCAGACUGUUAGUGAAAGAAUUGGUCAGCGAGAGAGGGUCAAGUCAAACAUUAUACACACUUUUUAUAAGAAUACCAAAUUUUUUGUCGAGCCUCAAUAUCAUGUAAAUUCGUCUUAAGAUCAAGAAAAAUAUUAAAUUUUUUUUGAUGUGUUGCUUCAUUAUAAUUUUCAGCAAGUGAUAUUAAAUGCUUUGGGAGAAAAUUCCAGAUUAAGGAAAAAUUUUAGUCUUGAUGAAAGUUGAGCAAUUUUGAGCCUCAAUAUUCUUAUAUACUUUAUUUUUAUAAAAAAGUGCCUAUUCUUGGUAAAGUAUAUAUACCAAAAUAGCAAAAGCUGUGCGAAGGGGCGAGGAUAUGGGGGGCGGGAGAUGCAAAAAUGCAGCUGUCCUUACAAUUAUCAGUAAGAUCUACUGUUGCUAAAUGAUACCCAAACUCUUUCAAUUACAUCCAUACAAUCUACUUGAAAAUUUCAGUUCAAAUUUUACUUUUUAUGUUGAAUGUGCACAUCAAGUUAAUAUCUAAAUUAAGAAUUGAUUGCCGUAAUCUCCUAUAUGAACGUUUUGAUUUUCAGGCCCUACCUUUCACUGACAUCCUGGAAGAGAAUUCGGCAUCAACGGAUGCAAGCGAGAUGACGAGCAUUAUUCCAGGGCUGCAGCCCUUUGUUAAUCAAUCGUUUAUUUGUCAGCAUCCUCCUCCUUCCAAUCCCCCGAAUAAAGAAAUUAGUUCCGUCAACACAUGUUUUAUAUCUUAUGUUUUUGAAUUUUUAAACUUAUUAUAGAAUUUGGCAUUUCAGAAAAAGAAAUCUUUGGCUACUGUGUCUACGACAGCAAUAGAUGACGACUUCGAGGCUUACGUAGCUGGAUCGGCAGAACUCGAAAGUUCAUUCGCGGAGUCAGAAGGAGAUUUGUGUGAAGAAUCGGCUGCACAAGGUAUUGAGCUACUACAGUCCCUGUCAUUUGACUAUGAAAGCGACUCAGAACCCUCAAAUGACCGAAAAGACAAAAUGAUCCUGAAACAUGAUGACUUUGUGGCGUACACCUGCCUUACAAACACCUUUUACCUUGGUCGUGUCGUUCUUGGUGUGCCUGAAGUAGCCGAGGACCAAGUAGCAGUUAUAUAUGCCACUGCAAGGCCCAACAAUAUGUUUGAUUUUAACAAAAAGAAAACUGACGUAAUAAAAAAACAACAAAUUUUCAAGUGGGGCUCUGCACUAAAAACAGAGUUUGUCAAAUGUGGAGUGUGGAGGGUGGACAGAGCAUCACUUGAAAAGGACCAUCAAAUUGCGGUGAAGAUCCUUCGUGAAAAGGAUGAUUUUUCUCUAGAUUGAGUUGUUAUUUACAAUCAUCAAACCCAAGGGCCACUCAAAUUUACAACAAAAAUGUACGGAAAGGGUCAUUACAGCAAAGUUCAGCCCUUAAAUAUAGGUUUCUACGAGUUUCUUUCUACCAAAUGACAAAAAAUUAGCCGAUUAACAAAUUAUCUUUAUCUUUAAAUGGCUUUAUCAAUUUCGAGAAUGAAGAAAAGAUUAGAGUUGUUCAACCUAGUACCUAACAGAAUAAGAUUAGAUUUUUCAAAAUUUAUAUCAUCACAAUUUCUAUCGCGAGUGAAAAAAUUAUGCAAAAAAUUGCCAGUCGCAACAAGACACAGGAACAUAAAGUUUCUUGAAGUGAUAACACAGUAGCAAGAUAAAAUAGUAGUUCUAUUAUUUUAUCUUGGCGGCAGGGAUUAUUAAAGUUUCUAAAUUGCUCAGAACCUUUACUAACAGGUUAGUUUUAGUGAGUUUUCUCAGUAGAAAUAUAAAAAAGCUGUCAUUUAAUUUCUGUAACGGUUACACCCAUCAACAUAGUACUUCUGCCCAAAUUAAAUGCUCGGCUCUUUUAACUAAGAUCGAAGACAACAGGCCCCUGAAAGAGUUUCUCAUCGUAAAUGCCGUAUCCCUUUCUGGCCUGCCCCCGAACUUUAAUCUUCUCUAACAAACACGUACCAGUGUAUGACUGUUAUGUACACAAUCUGGAUAAAACGAGUAUUCAAAGAAAUAAAAUAUUAAAUGUACCCCAUAUAAUAGUACAUAAUAUCUUUAAUUAAUCAUUUUGCUACUUACAAAAAAUCCUGUCCCCAAGCCUCUAUUUUCGCUAUAAUUUCAACAUAAGUUGAAGAUAAAGAAUUCAAUAUUGUAAAUCUGGUAGACGUUUGUUUUGAAAAAAACUUUCAUGGCUUGGCUGUCCGUUUUUGUAGAGCCCAGUUGUCGAGCGGUUUUACCGUAAGAUUUUUUGGAAUUUGUUAUGUAACUAGCUUUGUAUUUUAUUGUGUAGGCUUUUUGCUGUCAUUGGAAUCCGAUUGUCAACGAUUAUGAAAGUAAAGAAUGGUUUACUUUGUACAUUUGUACUAAUUUGAAACAAUAAUUAAAGCGCAGAGCUAGCA